GCGCACAUUGGACAAAGUAACACUACGAAUGAGAUUCUACAAUCAUGGAAGAUAUUUAUUUUAUUUUAUUCAACUAUCAUUUAAUUUAUUUCAACUAUAACUAUAAAUUACAUCAUAUAUAAAUACAUGUCAAGCACAAAUAUAUAUUAAUUAAAAUACAUUAAAUAUUCUAUUUCAAAAACAGAGCUUUUGACACAUAGACAGUCCGGCUGUCUGUGAAUUUUUUAUAUGUUAACAUAGAUUCUUUGUAUUCUGUGUAAAAUCUAAAAUCAUUUUAUAUCUAAUUAUAUGCAUUACACUUGAGCUUGGGAAAUUUACACAUAUAUGCUGACAAGACUCAUAAUAAAUGGUUCUCAAUGAACUCGAGCGACCAGAUCUUACAUCCGACAGAACUCAAGUGUACUUUCCAGUGAAGCCUUACUGACGUGUGCAUUUACGAUAUAAAUCACAGAGACAACUGACAUUACGCAACUAACUCGCUGCAUCAUGAUUCAGGAAGCCCAAAGCCCAUUUCGUAAUUACUAAUUAAUAGAUGAAUUUCACUAAGAUUCGGUUGAUAGGCCAUCGACCCUGUCAGCUUUAGCUGUAUCUUUCAAUCGUGAUUAAAUAAGUGCUUCAAUCAAUAAAAAAAACAACGGCAACGUUCUGUUAUUACUGGCCCUACCUUACACGCAGAAGAUGGAGGUCAACCUGCAGUUAUCAGAGUGGGAAAAUAUGCUAAUUCGUUUCAUUAUAUGCACCUA
Molecule: non-coding RNA, 743 nt
Organism: Paramuricea clavata
Lineage: Eukaryota; Metazoa; Cnidaria; Anthozoa; Malacalcyonacea; Plexauridae
Source: the annotation of a GenBank genome assembly